Molecule: long non-coding RNA, 2376 nt
Filed under: Olea europaea subsp. europaea
Lineage: Eukaryota; Viridiplantae; Streptophyta; Magnoliopsida; Lamiales; Oleaceae
Source: RNAcentral
CUAGAGUCUAGGUAUGACCUAUAAAAAGGGGUUAGUCUAUGGGUAUAGGAAAUACUCACAGAAUUAUUACAGAUUUUUGAAUUUGCUGAGUUGAAUUAGAAUAAUUCGUUUUUUAUUCCCUUUUCAAUUUCAGCCCUUUUAAAAAAAUUUAACCCAUAAUCCGGAAACAAAAGCAAACCGGUUUUCCUCUUAACAAUUCACCCACUUCAUUUCCCAUCAAAUCAUUGUCAUUUCCCCCCAAAUAUGUAACGCGAGAGGAAGAUCUGUAGCCCUUCAUUUCACCCAAAAUCGCAAGCAAGAGGAAAAUCGCCCGUUUCUUCAUCGCCGACAUCUGAACCACUGCCCAGUGUGCACCAUUGGAUGUAGCCCACCGAAACCGAACGUGGAAAUAGUAUUUGAAGACGGCAGUGGAAUCGUAGAUGAUGGACAAAGGUUUUUUCAUUUUUUCCUCAUUUUGUUUCAGCAAUUUAUUGUGGAAAGCUUGCCUCUAUGCCCUUUUCUUAAUAUGCGAAGCUUGUUACUGCAUCUUUGUUGGGCUCUAAUAAUUGUACUAGAUCUUUUUUGUUGAAUACUAGAGGAUUAUAUGUUGUGCAAGGGUAGUCAAAGGGGAUCUUAGAUUUAGUUAGGUAUUAUCUAACAUGUGGACACCUGAACAUUUGAUUAGUUAUGGACUCGAGGGGAUUUCAAUGAGUGUUAAUUGAACAUCUUAUUUCAACAAUUCUAUUUAGAGUUUCUCAAGUUUAGUUAAAUUUAAAAAUUUGUCAAUUUAAGCUAUGGGAUAACUGAUACUCAGGUUGAGGUCAUUUUAACGUUUAAGCUCGUUGUUCGGAGUGGUUUAACUCCAUGGAAAAUCGAACAAGCUGACUUGAGGGUUGUCAUUAUUCCUUCUAUUCCGUACCCAAUCAUUCAUGUAGAUGUGAAUUGUCUCUGUGUAUAAUUUUGUUUGCAAAACCUUGUUGAGUUAGAUCAAAUCAGAAACACUAGUUUGAUAAGAUUCUGGAAUUGAGGAUGGGAUCAAUCUACUGUAUAUAUUUUAGGGUAAAAAGUAGAUAUAUGUAAAAUGAAUUUUAGAGAUUUCCUUGAUUAUUCUGUUCACGAACAUUUGUGAAUGAAAAAAUAUAGUUCAUGUUCGGUCCGUUAUGAAAGAAUUUAGAAGUACAUUUUCUGUGAAAUAUUUUUUUGCACUAAUCUUUCACAUACGCUUCUCAGCCCUCAUGUAUGCACCCAAGAAAACCGAAUUAUGCAGCUCGAGUGAUCGUGUAAUUUGAUCUUCCUAAUUUGUAACAAUUUGCAGACAUUGAGUAAAAGGCAGGAUUGAAAUCGUGAAAGAAUUGGUUCGUACGAAACCUGAUGCAGCUUGAGUGAUCGUGGGUCAAGGACAGACCAUUGUGCAUUUGUGUGUGAAGUACUAUCAGAUUCAAGCCUUCAAGAUCUUAGUGUAAAAACUCCUAAAACUGUUGUUACAUGCUAAUUGAUUUCGAACACUUUUCGUGGUCGGAGUUUGUCUUGUUGGAACUAAAAUCGAGUUUUGUUCACGUGACUUGGCCCUGGGAAAUGUUUAUAUAAAUUUUGAUUUGGACUUCUGAUUUUAAUGCAAAACAGGUACCAACAUUGUUUUUUUUUUUGUAUUUUAUAUUCAAACUUGUUUGUUUUUUUGUAUUUUAUAUUCAAACCUGUUUGUUUGUUUAAUGCAAAGUGAGGCAAAUUUAUUCUGUCAAUGUACAUCUUGAAGAAGCCUACUAAUUCUUGAACAAAAUUGUGCAAAAAUAUUAAAACAAGCCUACUAAGCAAUACAACAAUUCGCAAAAUAUUAAACUUAUGUCCAAAGCUCGAACGACGUUGACAAAAUUAAGCAUUGAAUAUCGAAGACUACUAUGACCAAUAAGUUCUUAUAGUAAAAAUAAAGCACAUAGCAAAUACAAAUUGACAUCAUCCAUUCACAUCGGUCCUUUCUCUUCGCAUCACUUUCUACAAUUCCUUUUCCUUUGCAAAAUGUAACGUGCAGUGUUAUGUCGACAUCUCGUUUCUCGAUAAUUCGAGCUAGGCUAUUGUCACAACCUAGACAUAGAAUUUCACAUUUUUUUUUUCGAGUUUGUUAACUUCUAAUCACCUGUGACACGAUCAUAUAAUAUAUCGAAACCCAAAAUCAUAUCGCCAUAAUCCAACAUAUAUAUUCAGAGCUUAUAAACAUGUCUACAAACCAUUUCAAAAGUACACUAUAUAGGAUUCCAAAAUAUAACCCUACAGAUGGCAGCCUACAAAAUAACCUUACAGGUCCUCAUCCAUGUACAUCGAACUCUGGAAUCCUGUAAGAGCUCCACAGCUAGCCAUGCUCUCUAUGUAGUUCCAUGUUCACCUACAAUACAAGAACUACAU